CCUUCCCAUAAACUCAGGGAAUAGCCUUUCGAAAGAAAGAUUAAUACCUGAUAGUACUUUUUCAAAGGCAUCUUGAAAAAGUUAAAGAUUUAUUGGUUAUGGAUGGGGAUGCGUUCCAUUAGAUAGUUGGUGAGGUAACGGCUCACCAAGUCUUCGAUGGAUAGGGGUUCUGAGAGGAAGGUCCCCCACAUUGGUACUGAGACACGGACCAAACUCCUACGGGAGGCAGCAGUGAGGAAUAUUGGUCAAUGGGCGAGAGCCUAGAACCAGCCAAGUAGCGUGAAGGAUGGAGGUCCCAUGGAUUGUAAACUUCUUUUAUAGUAGAAUAAAGUGAGCCACGUGUGGUUUUUGUAUGUAUACUAUGAAAUAAGGAUCGGCUAACUCCGUGCCAGCAGCUGC
RNAcentral lists this ribosomal RNA (399 nucleotides) under uncultured bacterium. RNAcentral describes it as "bacterial SSU rRNA". It matches the Rfam family "Bacterial small subunit ribosomal RNA", at positions 125 to 518 of the family's 1533-position model. The record is from RNAcentral.